AAGCCUACGGGGGGCAGCAGUGGGGGAUAUUGCACAAUGGGGGAAACCCUGAUGCAGCGACGCCGCGUGAGUGAAGAAGUAUUUCGGUAUGUAAAGCUCUAUCAGCAGGGAAGACAAUGACGGUACCUGAGUAAGAAGCCCCGGCUAACUACGUGCCAGCAGCCGCGGUAAUACGUAGGGGGCAAGCGUUAUCCGGAUUUACUGGGUGUAAAGGGAGCGUAGACGGCAGGGCAAGUCUGAUGUGAAAGCCCGGGGCUCAACCCCGGGACUGCAUUGGAAACUGGCAGGCUAGAGUGCAGGAGAGG
This 305-nucleotide ribosomal RNA is filed under the name uncultured bacterium. RNAcentral's name for it is "bacterial SSU rRNA". It matches the Rfam family "Bacterial small subunit ribosomal RNA", at positions 335 to 657 of the family's 1533-position model. The record is from RNAcentral.